UAAGCGUGUGAUGAAAUUUCGGGGCUCAACCCCGAAACUGUUACGCGAACUGCUAGGCUAGAGUGUAUGAGGGGUACCUGGAAUUCCCAGUGUAGGAGUGGAAUCCGUAGAUAUUGGGAGGAACACCAAUGGCGUAGGCAGGGUACUGGCAUAUUACUGACGCUAAGGCACGAAAGCGUGGGGAGCGAACGGGAUUAGAUACCCCGGUAGUCCACGUCGUAAACGAUGGAUGCUG
Molecule: ribosomal RNA, 235 nt
Filed under: uncultured Candidatus Saccharibacteria bacterium
Lineage: Bacteria; Candidatus Saccharimonadota
Description: partial 16S ribosomal RNA
Rfam family: Bacterial small subunit ribosomal RNA
Source: RNAcentral